This 76-nucleotide transfer RNA is filed under the name Fusarium acuminatum CS5907. RNAcentral describes it as "tRNA-Phe". Lineage: Eukaryota; Fungi; Ascomycota; Sordariomycetes; Hypocreales; Nectriaceae. The record is from RNAcentral.
CGAGCUUGCGCCUUAUAUUUUCAGGCGGAGCACUGAAAAUCCGCAAGCUCUACUUAGGCUGGCGUCAUAAGCUCGC